GCGGGUGUAAAUAAUUUAGGUGGUUACCGCCAAAUUUUUCUUCCCAAGGAAAGUCCACUAAUUAACCCUUAUGUACCCCAUACUUAUAACCACAUACCCUCUAAAAAAAUUCUCACAAAAAUAACCCCACACUCCCCUAAAAAGUCUAAAAUACCCUUAAGAAAAAUUUGGGCUUCCCUUUCUCUCUCUUUCUUUAUCCCCAGUUCAUGGCAGCCACCACCUGCCGCCUGAAACCAUGAAACAGCCCCCAUCAUUCAUGAGAGUUAUAGAAUCUGGCACAUUGAAGGAUUCGAACUUAGUUCGAUCUAGGUCUGAACUCCAUUGAAAUUUUUGGUUUUACGUUGUGAUUCAGACAUGAUAGGCGAAAAUGGUAUGAUUUAGGUCCGAAUAUGUCCGAAAAUUGAUGUACGGAACCCGUCAUGUACGAUCCUAAUCUGAACUAUGUAUGAAAAUAGUCGGAACCAUGUUCGAAAAUGGUCCGAGUCCGAAAAUAGUUGAUGUCCGAACCCAUGCCCGAACUCACGUCCGUACCCAUUUUUUGACGUUUCGGACAGCGGUGGGGCGUUGUUUUGUGGUGUGAGUAUGUGUGAGGGUGGUGGUGGCUGCCGUGAGUAAGUGUGAGGGUAGUGGUGGCUGUCGUGAAGAAAGAGAGAAAGGUCAGAAGCCCUAAUUUUACUUAAGGGUAUUUUUGACUUUUCAAGGGGUAAUGGGGUUAUUUUUGUGAGAAUUUUUUUAGAGGGUAUGUGGUUAUAAAUAUGGGGUAAAUAAGGUUAAUUAGUGGACUUUCCUCAUCAAUGAGGAGGAAGUUUGUUAAAGUAAAGAUAAAUUAAUACUUUUUUUUUGUACACCA
This is a long non-coding RNA of Humulus lupulus (European hop), 850 nucleotides long. RefSeq lists it as uncharacterized. The transcript is spliced from 2 exons. NCBI's taxonomy places the organism in Eukaryota, Viridiplantae, Streptophyta, Magnoliopsida, Rosales, Cannabaceae. The record is from RefSeq and is a predicted model, not a curated record.